This 600-nucleotide ribosomal RNA is filed under the name Pelagibacterium halotolerans. RNAcentral's name for it is "bacterial SSU rRNA". It matches the Rfam family "Bacterial small subunit ribosomal RNA", at positions 96 to 731 of the family's 1533-position model. Lineage: Bacteria; Pseudomonadati; Pseudomonadota; Alphaproteobacteria; Hyphomicrobiales; Devosiaceae. The record is from RNAcentral.
UGGCAGACGGGUGAGUAACGCGUGGGAAUCUACCCAGUUCUCUGGAAUAACUGAUGGAAACGUCAGCUAAUACCGGAUACGCCCUUUUGGGGAAAGAUUUAUCGGGAUUGGAUGAGCCCGCGUAAGAUUAGCUAGUUGGUGGGGUAAUGGCCUACCAAGGCGACGAUCUUUAGCUGGUCUGAGAGGAUGAUCAGCCACACUGGGACUGAGACACGGCCCAGACUCCUACGGGAGGCAGCAGUGGGGAAUAUUGGACAAUGGGGGCAACCCUGAUCCAGCCAUGCCGCGUGAGUGAUGAAGGCCUUAGGGUUGUAAAGCUCUUUCACCGGUGAAGAUAAUGACGGUAACCGGAGAAGAAGCCCCGGCUAACUUCGUGCCAGCAGCCGCGGUAAUACGAAGGGGGCUAGCGUUGUUCGGAAUUACUGGGCGUAAAGCGCACGUAGGCGGAUAUUUAAGUCAGGGGUGAAAUCCCGGAGCUCAACUCCGGAACUGCCUUUGAUACUGGAUAUCUAGAGACCGAGAGAGGUAAGUGGAACUCCUAGUGUAGAGGUGGAAUUCGUAGAUAUUAGGAAGAACACCAGUGGCGAAGGCGGCUUACUG